GGUGAUUACAGAAUAAAUGUACUGUAAUAUAUUCGAUUAAACACUGAUCAUUUACUUAAACAUGAACUGAAUGAUGAAGUGUGUUUUCUGCAGUUUCAUCAAGACAGGAAGUAAAGUGAAAUAGUGAGAAGUGUGUUGACUUCACACUUCAUUAAUGCUUUUGUUUGUUUGUUUGUUUUUUCCUUCAAGGGUUGUGAACAUGACAAAGAGGAAGUCCUGACACAUUACAGAUUAGUCUCACUGGAUGCUCACAGCCUGAAAAACAUGCUGCACAUGUCAGCAGUUCUGUGCUAUGCUUUCUUCUGUACAGUAUGUACUCAUUUUAUUAAUGCAUUUUUUACAUGUCCUGCAUUUCUGUUUCUCUCUGUUCCAGUUUAUGUUGUACCGGUGACACAUACAGAGGCAGAAGACAAAGAAAGAGGAAGUCAGCAUCUCAUCACAUUCAUGAUUCACACCCUGCCAGGAACCACCUGAAACACACACCGAGAGCCUCAGACCCAUGUAGAGAGGAAUCUACUAACAACAGAGAAGAUCGUCACUGUGAUCUUCAGAAAUCUGAGUGAACAGGAUUCUGGGAAGUACAAGUGUGGAGUUGAUAAGUUAGGAAUAGAUUCCUACACUGAAGUGAAUCUGAACGUUAUAACAGCGCCAAAAACAGUAUCAGUAUCAUCACCAUCACCCUCAACAACAACAUCAUCAUCAUCAUCAUCAUCAUCAUCAUCAAUCACAACUCCACCUAUUUCACUAAAUUCCCAGCCAUCGACAUCUGAUUUCACAUUGGAUUCUCCGUCUGUCUCGAAUGGUAUUCUGGUGAUCCGUUCAUUCAUCUUCUCUCAUUCACCUGCAGUUAUCAGAGAGAAUCAGUCUCUCGUUGUGUUUUCUCUCAGGUUUGUGUCUGAUCAUCGUCGUGUCUGUGGUUCUUCCUCUGCUCAUCGCUGGACUCGUUUCAUGUAUAGUGACUGUCUGCAUGAAGCGUCAGGCUCGAGCUAAAGGCUCUGAUUCAGCCUCUAAAAUGCCUGAACCUGGAACAGAAAACAGUAAAGCGGUUCCUCAAACGCUGUACAUUUACGAGGGGAUUAAAGACACCAGAACUGCCCAAUUACCCACAAACCCCUCUGAUUCCACUAAAACAGUUUAUGCUACGGCCCAGUUACCCACAAACCCUUCUGGUUCUAUUACCACAGUUUAUUCUACUCCGCAAUUACCCACAAACCCCUCUGUUGAGUGGCAUAAACAGUGUAAGAAUCAGUUAACCACAAAUCCAUCUGCUUCUUGCUAUGUUUAUGCUACUCCAGGAUUACCCACAACCCCCUCUGAUUCUACUAAAACAGUCUAUGCUACUCCACAAUUACCCACAACCCCCUCUGAUUCUACGAACACCGUUUAUGCUAACGUUUAACAGUGCAGAAGUUCGCAAGAGCCAGGGAUUAUAGUAAAUACAUGUUUUACAAGUGAUUGACCAUUUCAAUUUGUUGUUGUACCUGAUGAAGUCAUAUAUAUAUAUAUAUAUAUAUAUAUAUAUAUAUAUAUAUAUACACAUCUCAAAUAUUUUCUCAUUUUGCUUAACAUUGUAUGUGCAAUAAUGUGUUUUAUGUGUGGUUUGUUGUAUAUAUGUAUAUAUGUAACUAUGAACAACAUAAACAGAGGUGGAAAGAGUACAAAAAUAUUCUACUCAAGUAAAAGUACCAUUACAUUAAUGAAAUUUUACUUAAGUACAAGUAAAAGUACCAGUCUAAAAAUCUACUCAAGUAAAAGUAAAAAGUAGCUCAUUUAAAAUUUACUCAGAGUAAAAAUUACUUAGUUACAUUUUAACAGUGGGAGGGAGUCAAAAUUGGGACAGACCAAGGGUGUCGAACUCAGUUCCUGGAGGGCCACAGUCCUGCAUAGUUUAGAUAUAACCCUAAUUAAACACCUGAUCCAGCUAAUCUAAUUGUUUAGGCUUAUUUGAAAACUACAUGGUAGGUGUGCUGGAGCAGGGUUAGAACUAAACUCUGCAGGGCUACGGCCCUCCAGGAACUGAGUUUGACACCCCUGGGAUAGGCCUAUUAAUCUCAAACCAGUUGUUUUUAAUUAAAGGAAUCAGUUAUUUAGAGUAAUAAGACAUUUGGGCUGUUACCAGGCAAAUCAGUAUCAACAAAUUCAUCUUUUCAAUGCAGAGGAAAUGCAGAAGCUUCAUUGGAAGUGGCAUUUAGAUGUAUUUACACACUGUUUAGUGCAGCACAAAAAUGCAUUUAACCUGCAGUUACAAAUGCAUGAAUAAUGUUUUGAUAUACAAGACAUAAAAUGUUGAAUACUCAUUUGAAAUGAUAAGAAAUUAAUUAUUUAAAAAAAUCAAAAGAUAUUGCGAUUCAUUGGGAGUCAUUGCGAUUGAACCGAAUCAUUCAGGAACGAAACACUGUCAUGUUGCUCAGAGACGCAAAACUGUGCUAUGGUGGCUGUGUUUGGAAUUAUUUUUUGUUGUAGAAAUAGAGCAAAAACAGGCAAUAUGGUGUCUAAAACGCAAGUCUCUUAAUUAACUUGUUUACUGACCUGUAUAUAUAGCACACUCCGCACCAGUCUUUUUGGCUAAUUUGUGUAAAACCUCUUGCUAAAAUGUCAAAGCUUUAUUUUAACCACCAAUGCAACGAUGCAAUUAUUUAGCUUACCUCUAUAUGCUUGCGAAGGGUUGACGUCUUGUCGAGAUUUUAUUAGCUGCUAGUUUGGUCUUCCUAGGCAAGCACAGCUUGCACUGCUUAAUAAAGCAUAAAUAUGGCCAGGGCUUCA
Cyprinus carpio (common carp) is the source of this 2763-nucleotide long non-coding RNA. NCBI's taxonomy places the organism in Eukaryota, Metazoa, Chordata, Actinopteri, Cypriniformes, Cyprinidae. The record is from Ensembl.